AACACGGACCAAGAAGUCUUGAAUGUGCGCGAGUCAAAGGGCUGGCUAAACCCCAAGGCGAAACGAAAGUGAAGUUUUUUCGUAGGGCUGAUCCGUUUCGGGGUGCGUGAGCCGGAGUUAGCGUCGUCGUUCGUCGCCGUCUGGUCGAUAUCUUCCUAAGCGGGGUGAAGUCGAAGGCGGAUGCUCGGCGGCGGUGCGCUCCUACCUCUCCCCCCGAUUUACCACCUUUACAUGUGGACGGCGCAAGCCCGGGGCCCGCAUUACGUUCCUCUCCGCCGUUAAGGCCUACCCGGUCGUCUCGCGGCGAGGUUUUCCCUCUUAGGCCGCGGAGUAGAGAGGGGCUCUAGCGCGACUUUACCCAGGCAAAGUUGCUGCACGCCUGCCGCUGCCGCCGCUGCCGUACACCAACGUCGGAUAGGUACGCGAUCAUUGCGCCCGCGUGCCCAUUCGUCGUGGUUGCUGUAGUGUCGGUGGUGGUAAAUACGCUCCAGCAGUGGCUUUUGCCUGACGUAAUGUUCGUCGUUAUCCUCUCUGCCCUGCUCCGUUGGUCUACUGACGUUGAAAGGGGAUCUCGCUCGGGGCGUCGGGUCGCUGGCGCGAGACGGACGGCGGGUACCUUGAGCGCACAUUCUAGGACCCGAAAGAUGGUGAUCUAUGCGUGGCGAGGAUGAAGCCAGGGGAAACCCUGGUGGAAGUCCGUAGCGAUUCUGACGUGCAAAUCGAUCGU
Molecule: ribosomal RNA, 727 nt
Filed under: Protracheoniscus major
Lineage: Eukaryota; Metazoa; Arthropoda; Malacostraca; Isopoda; Agnaridae
Description: partial large subunit ribosomal RNA
Rfam family: Eukaryotic large subunit ribosomal RNA
Source: RNAcentral